RNAcentral lists this ribosomal RNA (392 nucleotides) under uncultured bacterium. Its description in RNAcentral is "partial 16S ribosomal RNA". It matches the Rfam family "Bacterial small subunit ribosomal RNA", at positions 523 to 918 of the family's 1533-position model. The record is from RNAcentral.
AUACGGAGGAUCCGAGCGUUAUCCGGAUUUAUUGGGUUUAAAGGGUGCGCAGGCGGCCAUUUAAGUCAGCGGUUAAAUCGUGGGGCUCAACCCCAUUCUGCCGUUGAUACUGGGUGGCUUGAUUGCGGUCGAGGUUGGCGGAAUUCGUUGUGUAGCGGUGAAAUGCAUAGAUAGUCUGAAGAACACCGAUUGCGUAGGCAGCUGACCAGACCGCAAAUGACGCUCAUGCACGAAAGUGCUGAGAUCGAACAGGAUUAGAUACCCUGGUAGUCCGCACAGUAAACUAUGAAUACUUGUUUUCGGCGAUAUAAUGUCGGAGGCAAAGCGAAAGCGAUAAGUAUUCCACCUUGGGAGUACGCCGGCAACGGUGCAACUCAAAGGAAUUGACGGGG